RNAcentral lists this non-coding RNA (93 nucleotides) under uncultured Blautia sp. RNAcentral's name for it is "THF riboswitch". It matches the Rfam family "THF (Tetrahydrofolate) riboswitch aptamer". Rfam says of the family: THF riboswitch presents a pseudoknot that joins P1-P2 and the loop of P3 and two THF binding. Lineage: Bacteria; Bacillati; Bacillota; Clostridia; Lachnospirales; Lachnospiraceae. The record is from RNAcentral.
CAAAAUAGACCUGUAUGCGUCAAGUGUUCGGUGAAUGGGGAGUUGUCACCGGAACGAAAAGCACGUCUUACGGUAUAUGGGUCGCACCCGUUG